UCUUUCUGAUGUGCAGCGUUUUCUUCC
This 27-nucleotide small RNA is filed under the name Bombyx mori (domestic silkworm). RNAcentral's name for it is "piRNA piR-bmo-2108356". Lineage: Eukaryota; Metazoa; Arthropoda; Insecta; Lepidoptera; Bombycidae. The record is from RNAcentral.